CACAAUGUAGCAAUGCCUUCGUUUUAAGGGACAACCCAGAACGACUGAUGAAUUCAUCAGGUACCCGUGUGCAGCAUGAUUGCAUGAUUGCUGCGCUCAUCUCCUUGCUCAUGUCCAAUUCCUGGGAAGCACAGCUGCUCGCACGAAAAACACUGCGAUGACACGCGACCCCGGAUCACUAUAAAGCGCGGACCCAUUAUGCU
Molecule: long non-coding RNA, 203 nt
Organism: Ornithodoros turicata
Lineage: Eukaryota; Metazoa; Arthropoda; Arachnida; Ixodida; Argasidae
Exons: 2
Source: RefSeq, a predicted model, not a curated record